RNAcentral lists this long non-coding RNA (1483 nucleotides) under Ailuropoda melanoleuca (giant panda). RNAcentral's name for it is "lncRNA (ENSAMEG00000025102.1)". Lineage: Eukaryota; Metazoa; Chordata; Mammalia; Carnivora; Ursidae. The record is from RNAcentral.
AUGUACAGACCCCUCCGCCCUAUGAGAAAGCCCCGGCAGCAGCUGCUGGACACCCUCCAGGAAAACCGCCAAGGGUGCUGGAUUGAGCCACAGUGCAGACCUGGAUUCUGUUCUCAGCUCUGCCUCAACCUCCAUAUCCUUCAUGCCCCCCGGGUCACAUGCUUCCAACUGGAGGUAUUUGACUCUAUUCUGAUCGCCAAGUCUGCCAAAGAACCCACUUUCAGAAGGAAUUGAGCGCCUUCACUGCUCAGACAGCUUUCCAACAGCUUGCAAGUUCACUACCAAAUAUGGUCGGCUGACCAGUUUACAAUCUGUGCUGCUGAGGGUGCGCUCUGUGCAUGACCUACCAGCCAGCCUCUUCUGUGUCUGGGGGAACAGAGGGCGUUUUUGCAACAGAUGCCAUCCUCUCCUGCCCUUCCCUCCCAGGAAGCAGAUUAGCCACACCAAGAUCGGGCUGGGUCUGCGGGAACAGCCCCCUCGGAAGGCACUCCUUGUGGAGGAAAGGCCCUGAGAACCAAAGGAGCCUGAGAUAGGGUGUGACCCCAGUUUCUAUGCUUAGACUUCAGCCUCCCCACUCCUACGCAAGGCCACAUACCCUUCCCAGAUUAGGAUGCCAGAAAUAUGCCUGUCCAUGCGGCCACAGCAGGGUUGUAACUCAGCUGUGAGAAAGGGCAUGUUUUGAGCCCAAACAUCUACUUGGGAAAUUUUCCUGCCCGUGCAUUCCCACUGAGAUCAAUUUACAGGUGAAUGUACUAGGAGAGGUUUUCGUAUCAGGUUUUCUGUACAAAUCAUUAAGCUCUCAGGUACUAUUUUACACAAUGAAUGGGGUAAAAUCCUCAAUAUGACACUUACUGGCAGCUGAGUUUUCCAAGUUUGGGAAAAGAUGCACAGACCGGGGGUGCCAGGGCAGCUCAGUUGUUAAGCGUCUGCCUUUGGUUCAGGUCGUGAUCCCAGAGUCCUGGGAUCAAGCCCCGCAUCAGGCUCCCUGCUUGGCGGGAAGCCUGCUUCUCCCACUCCCGCUCCCGCUCCCCCUGCUUGUGUUCCCUCUCUCUGUCAAAUAAAUAAAUAAAAUCUUAAAAAAAAAAAAAAAAGAUGCACAGACCACAAAUGAAUCUUCUCAACGGUAUUCGGCGCUGACCAGUCUUCCUGAGACAAGGCCCUGAGCAGUCCACCCCCACCACUAAGUUUUGUAUCAACAUACAGAACAAAACUAGCAACGGGAGCUCUCUGGCACUAGAACGGGUAAUUCCUUAGCUGUUCACACAACACCCAAGCUGCAUGCCACAUGACAUUAGACUGCUGGUUAACAGCUGAAUUCUGCAUUAAGAAACUGCAUGUUCUAGCUACAUUUUCCAGUAUCAAUACGCUAACCACAUCUAAUACUUACUGCCCAAGGUAAAGACUCCUCUAAGAGGUUUAUUAAAGAAAACACAAUUGAGAGUACUAUUAAGAAAAACAUUUCCAAUCUUGGAAGCAUAUAGCC